RNAcentral lists this ribosomal RNA (504 nucleotides) under uncultured bacterium. Its description in RNAcentral is "bacterial SSU rRNA". It matches the Rfam family "Bacterial small subunit ribosomal RNA", at positions 28 to 524 of the family's 1533-position model. The record is from RNAcentral.
GACGAACGCUGGCGGCGUGGAUUAGGCAUGCAAGUCGAACGGUAUCAUCCUUUCGGGGGUGAGAGAGUGGCGAACUGGUGAGUAACACGUAGGUUAUCUACCCUCAAGACGGGGACAACCCAGGGAAACUUGGGCUAAUACCGGAUGUGAGCAACUUUUAGUUGUUUGAAAGGUGGCGUAAGCUGUCGCUUGGGGAUGAGCCUGCGUCCUAUUAGUUAGUUGGUGAGGUAACGGCUCACCUAGGCAAUGAUAGGUAGGCGGCCUUAACGGGUGGUCGCCCACACUGGGAUUGAGAUACGGCCCAGACUCCUACGGGAGGCAGCAGUCGAGAAUAGUCUACAAUGGUCGGAAGACUGAUAGUGCGACGCCGCGUGAACGAUGAAUCCCUUCGGGGUGUAAAGUUCUUUUAUAUGUGAGCAGUGCUUCUUAUAUUUAACAGUAUGGGGAAGAGAUAUUAGCAUAUGAAUAAGCAACGGCUAACUCCGUGCCAGCAGCCGCGGUAAU